Long non-coding RNA from Sinocyclocheilus anshuiensis, 142 nucleotides. RefSeq lists it as uncharacterized. The record is from RefSeq and is a predicted model, not a curated record. The transcript has 3 exons. Lineage: Eukaryota; Metazoa; Chordata; Actinopteri; Cypriniformes; Cyprinidae.
UAUAUUACGGCAUCCUGUUUCUACUGAUCAUCCUUGAGAUGUUUCUAUUGGAGUCCACCUGUGGUAAAUUCAGUUGAUUGCACAUGAUUUGGAAAGGUACACUCCUGUCUAUAUAAGGUCCCACACGAACCAAACCAGAUCG